This is a non-coding RNA of Chlorocebus sabaeus (green monkey), 932 nucleotides long. NCBI's taxonomy places the organism in Eukaryota, Metazoa, Chordata, Mammalia, Primates, Cercopithecidae. The record is from RefSeq and is a predicted model, not a curated record.
UGAGCCCUCUGCCCAGAGUAAUGCCAGAGUGGAGGCCACGGCUGAAGGCAGAGGUGUUGGCCUGGGGUGGAGGGGGGAGAUUCCUCUGGGUGGGAGGUGACACUGGGCAGCCUUGGAUGAAGUGAAUACUGGGUGUGGGGAAGCAAAAAUAAAUAGAGAAACAAACGGAUUAAUUUUGCUUCUUUCCAGGGACUUGAUUUUCUACAAGUGGUGCUCCAAGAGGCUCCUACACUUCAGCAGGGAGGCGAGCACCGUUUUGAGGUGGCCGGGCUGGUGAGGAGGUGCAGACCCCAGCCAGCUGGAGGGGCUCUGCCCUGGUGGCGUUCCCACUCCCACCUAUUCGCAGGGCGCCGGGUAGGGCUGCAGGUGUUCUAUUGCCACCUGGCUUGCAGCGCAAGGAGGGGAAUCACCUGGCCUUCCCCUUCUCCCCUGCCCCGCUUCCUUUCUCUGCUCCCACAGGUGGAAGUCACCAGCGGAAACAACCCUUCACCGUUUGGAGGGCUGGGAGAGAGGGGCCACGAGGGCCCCGGGAGAGCCACCCGGGCUGCAGGCAAGGGGCGGGGCAGGGACCGAAGGCUGAAGGGCAAGGGGAGCUCAGGGAAUGAACGAUCGCUCCUGACUGAUGUUUAACCCAGGACUCCGAGACUCCGACUGGUCACAGUCCUGCAGACCUCCAGGUCCUGCACCAGCGGCGCAGCGCUCCACUGGCCCGGAACGCGCACACCGGGGGAAAUGAUUGGGGGCAGGAGCUGCUUUUUCAAUGAGAAGAAUGAACAGACCUAGUAGGCAUUGCCUUCAGACCCAGUUUUGGUAGACCCUAUUAUUGAAACCCGGAACAACUAAAUCUUCAUGAAAAUUGUAUGGUAUCAACUUCAAAACAGGGAGAAGAAAAAAAAUCACUAAUUGAAUAAAAUGAGUAUUCCAGAAAUAGA